This is a non-coding RNA of Marchantia polymorpha subsp. ruderalis, 114 nucleotides long. Lineage: Eukaryota; Viridiplantae; Streptophyta; Marchantiopsida; Marchantiales; Marchantiaceae. The record is from the annotation of a GenBank genome assembly.
GUCCAUGAACCAAAGUGAUACUUAGUGAAAGCUCUAUCUAGGAAAAAUUCUUGCAGUACUCAGUGAGAGUUGAAAAGGUAGAGCUUUCACUAAGUACCACUUUGGUUCAUGGAC